This 74-nucleotide transfer RNA is filed under the name Bacteroidales bacterium. RNAcentral's name for it is "tRNA-Leu". It matches the Rfam family "tRNA". Rfam says of the family: Transfer RNA (tRNA) molecules are approximately 80 nucleotides in length. Their secondary structure includes four short double-helical elements and three loops (D, anti-codon, and T loops). Further hydrogen bonds mediate the characteristic L-shaped molecular structure. tRNAs have two regions of fundamental functional importance: the anti-codon, which is responsible for specific mRNA codon recognition, and the 3' end, to which the tRNAs corresponding amino acid is attached (by aminoacyl-tRNA synthetases). tRNAs cope with the degeneracy of the genetic code in two manners: having more than one tRNA (with a specific anti-codon) for a particular amino acid; and 'wobble' base-pairing, i.e. permitting non-standard base-pairing at the 3rd anti-codon position. The record is from RNAcentral. Lineage: Bacteria; Pseudomonadati; Bacteroidota; Bacteroidia; Bacteroidales.
GCCCAUGUGAUGCAACAGGCAGACAUAUCGGUCUUAAAAACCGUCAGCUGCGGGUUCGAAUCCCGUCAUGGGCA